GUUCUGGCAUCGAUGAAGAACGCAGCGAAAUGCGAUAAGUAAUGUGAAUUGCAGAAUUCAGUGAAUCAUCGAAUCUUUGAACGCACAUUGCGCCCUGUGGUAUUCCGCAGGGCAUGCCUGUUCGAACGUCAUUAGUACCAAUCAAGCCUAAUGCUUGGUCUUGGGGCAUGCCUGUCCGGCAGCCUCUAAAAUCAGUGGCAGUGCUGUUAGGCUCUCUGCGUAGUAAAUAACCCUCGCUACAGAGUUCUAUCAGUCACCCGCCAAAACCCCCAAUUUCUCAGGGUUGACUUCGGAUCAGGUAGGGAUACCCGCUGAACUUAAGCAUAUCAAUAAGCGGAGGAAAAGAAACCAACAGGGAUUACCUCAGUAACGGCGAGUGAAGCGGUAACAGCUCAAAUUUGAAAGCUGCCAACAGGCCGCAUUGUAAUUUGUAGAAGAUGCUUUGGGUGUUGGCCUAUUCUAAGUUCCUUGGAACAGGACGUCAUAGAGGGUGAGAAUCCCGUAUGUGAUUAGUGCCAUCCCCCGUGUAAAGCUCUUUCGACGAGUCGAGUUGUUUGGGAAUGCAGCUCAAAAUGGGUGGUAAAUUUCAUCUAAAGCUAAAUAUUGGCCAGAGACCGAUAGCGCACAAGUAGAGUGAUCGAAAGAUGAAAAGCACUUUGGAAAGAGAGUUAAACAGUACGUGAAAUUGUUGAAAGGGAAGCGCUUGCAAUCAGACUUGCAGGUAGUUGAUCAUCCGAGGUUCUCCCCGGUGCACUCGACUGCUUUCAGGCCAGCAUCGGUUUCAGUGGUGGGAUAAAGGCCGUGAGAAUGUGGCUC
This 816-nucleotide ribosomal RNA is filed under the name Leotiomycetes sp. genotype 730 JMUR-2016. RNAcentral describes it as "eukaryotic LSU rRNA". The stretch from base 285 to 816 matches the Rfam family "Eukaryotic large subunit ribosomal RNA", at positions 1 to 542 of the family's 3401-position model. The record is from RNAcentral. Lineage: Eukaryota; Fungi; Ascomycota; Leotiomycetes.